RNAcentral lists this ribosomal RNA (495 nucleotides) under uncultured bacterium. RNAcentral describes it as "partial 16S ribosomal RNA". It matches the Rfam family "Bacterial small subunit ribosomal RNA", at positions 28 to 507 of the family's 1533-position model. The record is from RNAcentral.
GACGAACGCUGGCGGCGUGCCUAAUACAUGCAAGUAGAACGCUGAAGGAGGAGCUUGCUUCUCUGGAUGAGUUGCGAACGGGUGAGUAACGCGUAGGUAACCUGCCUGGUAGCGGGGGAUAACUCUUGGAAACGAUAGCUAAUACCGCAUAAUAGUAGAUGUUGCAUGACAUUUGCUUAAAAGGUGCAAUUGCAUCACUACCAGAUGGACCUGCGUUGUAUUAGCUAGUUGGUGGGGUAACGGCUCACCAAGGCGACGAUACAUAGCCGACCUGAGAGGGUGAUCGGCCACACUGGGACUGAGACACGGCCCAGACUCCUACGGGAGGCAGCAGUAGGGAAUCUUCGGCAAUGGACGGAAGUCUGACCGAGCAACGCCGCGUGAGUGAAGAAGGUUUUCGGAUCGUAAAGCUCUGUUGUAAGAGAAGAACGAGUGUGAGAGUGGAAAGUUCACACUGUGACGGUAGCUUACCAGAAAGGGACGGCUAACUACGUG